AUUGAACGCUGGCGGCAGGCCUAACACAUGCAAGUCGAACGGUAACAGGAAGAAGCUUGCUUCUUUGCUGACGAGUGGCGGACGGGUGAGCAAUGUCUGGGCAACUGCCUGAUGGAGGGGGAUAACUACUGGAAACUGUAGCUAAUACCGCAUAACGUCGCAAGACCAAAAAGGGGGACCUUCGGGCCUCUUGCCUUCGGCUGUGUCCAGAUGGGAAUAGCUAGUAGGUGGGGUAACGGCUCACCUAGGCGACGAUCCCUAGCUGGUCUGAGAGGAUGACCAGCCACACUGGAACUGGGACACGGUCCAGACUCCUACGGGAGGCAGCAGUGGGGAAUAUUGCACAAUGGGCGCAAGCCUGAUGCAGCCAUGCCGCGUGUGUGAAGAAGGCCUUCGGGUUGUAAAGUACUUUCAGCGGGGAGGAAGGGAGUAAAGUUAAUACCUUUGCUCAUUGACGUUACCCGCAGAAGAAGCACCGGCUAACUCCGUG
RNAcentral lists this ribosomal RNA (490 nucleotides) under uncultured bacterium. RNAcentral describes it as "partial 16S ribosomal RNA". It matches the Rfam family "Bacterial small subunit ribosomal RNA", at positions 30 to 507 of the family's 1533-position model. The record is from RNAcentral.